Long non-coding RNA from Gavialis gangeticus (Gharial), 5510 nucleotides. RefSeq lists it as uncharacterized. The record is from RefSeq and is a predicted model, not a curated record. The transcript is spliced from 2 exons. Lineage: Eukaryota; Metazoa; Chordata; Crocodylia; Gavialidae.
UUUUCAGUCUCUUCUUUUUAUCCUUUUUGUUGUUUUACCACUGAAAAUGGGAAAGGAAGAAAUAGGUGACGUAGGGAGAUUUUUUGUUGUUGUUUUGUUAAAACCAAAAACAUGCAGAUGUAGAAAAAUGGGGGGGAUGGGAAGGGGGCUUAUUUUUCACCACACAAAAACCUGCCAGGCCUGAUUUACACUUGAGGCUGAACUGGUUUCCAGCCGGCCCAGGGAGUAUAAGCACCAAGGUGGUGAAAAGCUGCCUUUGCCUUCACUGUCUGGGCCUGUGCCAAGCACAGUUAGGUCAAAACAGACAAUCUAGGUUAAUUGUUAGUUCAGUUUCUGAUCACAUGGUUGUCUUUCAACUGCAUGGAACCUUACAAAGAAGUAAAAAAGUGAAAACAAAAAAGUAAGGAGUCACUUGACAGGUUUAAAAAACAAAAAAGAAAACACUCAGCCCCUGAUUAUAUGCAGGCUUUUUAAUCAUAACCCCAGCAAGCAUUACCAGGAAGGCUUUGCAGGUGGGACUCCCUUGGAGGCCUGGCUGCAACAUUUAAAAUGAGGUGCCAACAUCACUAACUUCCUCCCAAGGCAAAGUCCACUUGUCGCAUAGCUGUCUGCAUUGCUGGAGAGGUGCUGCAGGAAGCCUGCCUCACCAUUCCUUGUAUUUUCUUUCCCAUUUUAACACCUUUGCUUACUGAAAGUUAAGUUUUUUACAGAGUAAUUACUUUUCCCCAUGAGGUGGUACAUUUUCCCCUGUCAGGACAUGAAAAGCAAAUGAGUUGGUUUCACCAACACCAGCUCAGUGCUGCCAUGGGCACAUUUCAAACAGCAGGAGAAUGUUUAGAGUUAAACAGAAGACACUGAUAAAGGUUUUAAAGAGUUUUUUGGAUGUUAUAAUAUCAAAAGAAAGUUAUAACAAAAGUUAUAACAGUAAAAGAAAACAAGUAUUACAAAAUGUGUAUUACAAGGUGUAUUCUGUUUAAACAGGCAUAAAAGCCUCUAGAAACAGAAUGUACCUUGGUAGCUGGAAGUGAGAGUUUGCAUUUGUACACACAGAUCCAUAUAACAACAAUAAAUGGUCAACACAGACAGCCCCAGUCCAGCUCAGCUCAUUCUUAAAUCUUUUCUUAAUUGGGUCCAAAGGAUCUGAUCAUGGUCCUAAUGAAGUCAAAGGGAAUUUUGCCAUUUGCUUACAUGGGAGCAGGAUUUACCCAACGGGUCAUAGUUCCAUUGGUUACUACAUCUAUGACAUGGCAGCUCUUUUUUCCCUUUUCUUUCAAUAGGAUAGAGAAACUAAAAUAGAGACAUUCUACUAAUUUUUCUCUUUAAAAAACUUAAUACAUCAAUAGGGGAAAAAAUCAUUCGAGGGGUUUUGUACACCAGUUACUUGAGCUUAGUUCUCAUCCCAGAACCUCACCCCUGAACAAUUUGAAAAUUUCAGUGCAACUUUGGCUACUUCAGACUAUCUUCUAUCAAAGCUUUUGUUCAAAGCUUCAUGCCCAGAACCAUAGGCGACUUUGAUGAUAUAAUAACUUUGUAGAUCUGGGCCAUAGACACAUCGGAAAAGAGUUACCUUUGAACAAUUUGUUCAGAAUCUUCUGUUAUCAACAGUCCCUAUUAAUGGCAUCUGGAUGUUAGAUUCCCUUCUCCAUACAGUUAACAGAUGAUGCAACCCAGCAAGGUUCUGAGAGCAUUCAACCCCAAAUGAAGUGUAUGGAAGAUGUAUUCUGCCCCUUGCCAGUGUGUGGCAUCCAUAUGUAGCAUCCAUUUUUAAAGCAUUGCUUUCAUUUAGUUUGGUGAAUAAAUGAAACAUUAAUGAGCUGUUUUAAAGCAAUUUUUAAGAAAAGUUUUACUGUUUUUUGUGUGAAGCAUUUUGAUAUUUUAAUUUUGUUAAUUGAAGGAGUUAUUAAAAUGUUACCAACUCUUUCAGGGUACAGGAAAGUCUGAGAGAUGUACAAGGCAAAGGCCUGUCCCUUUGCUGUUUUACUGUGGAAUUGACUUCUACAAUGGCACAAUUUGGCUGCUUCUAGUUCAGGGUCCAGUCCUUCCUGACUGAGUCGGUAGUAAAAUUCCCAUUGACUCAACAGGAACAAGGAAAGGCCCUCUAUGAAGAGUUUUAAAGUUUGAAAUGCAGUAUCUUGCAGUUCACGGAGAAUUUCCAAGCUUUGGAAUAUGACCUUUGGCUGCAUCAACCUCAAAUGACCUCCACUCCUUGUGAAUGCCAUAAUGUUAUUGAAAAUGUCAAGAAUAGACAUCAAAGACAGAAAGUUAAAAGUCCUGUCCAUAAAUCUAUUUGGCAAGUCAGCCCACCUUUCUAUAGCUCCAAACACAACUCCACAUCCUCUACUACACUCCUUUACACUUUAGAGUAGCCAUGUAGCUGUUGUUAUUUUUUUUUCUUAUCAAUUAAGCAGAAGUGUUUAUUUUUCAUUUUCUCCUAGGUAAAAAGAUUCAGUGCUGAAUUCCUCAUUGCCUCAGCAUCUCACACUUUUCUCUGCAACCAAUUAGUGUUCAGCUAUAGACUCUUAGGCAACUUUCUGCCCCCUUUUAUUCACUUCCUUUAUUCACUGAAAAGUGGAAUUAGAGUUUUGUUUGAGUUUUAUCCUUUACUCUUUGACACUGGGCCAGGGGACUGACGUAACUGCAAAUAUAGCCACACCUCAAAUCUGUCCACUACAAAACUAGGAGAGCUGAGAUCUGGUAAAUGAACCCUAUACGCAUAAUGGUCCAAGCCAAGAAUUAUGUUGGCUCAAAACUUUGGCACUUGAGUUGAGUUUUGCAGUGUGGGUCUUUCUGUAGUUUCAGGAAUACUAUUAAGAUGAUAAUCCCACAACCCAGUGGGAUGACUAGUUCCCAUUAAAGUCAGAGGGGACAAUUUGGUGAGUAUGGUUGAUAUGGCCCUGCUCACAGAGAACACAUUAGUCAGGAAACAAAUUAUACUGCGUUAGGACGAAGCAUCUCCUGUGUAUGUAUACGUACAGGAAGGUUGCCAUCUGUUUUUCAAAUUUUACUUAAAAACUAGCUAUUGAUGCUUCCUAAUGCUACCAUAUGUAGUGAACGCCAUAAAGGAUAUCAGCAAUAUGGGGGGGCGGGUGGUUCAUGGUGCAGGUUAAUGGUACAUUACCUGUAUUUCUCAGGAACAUGGUAAGCUGACUUAACUCAAAUUAACAAACAAAAAGGCAACCUAUAAAUAAGCAACAUUCUGGCAUUGCACAUGUUUCUUAGCAAGCAGUUUUAGCAAUAUAUGACAAUUUUUUUAACAAGGUGAUAAACAUUGAAUUUUUUUGGUAGCUGUUGAAAAAUGUUGGGAAAACUAUCUUCAGGUAUGUGCCUAACUUCCCAUGCGUAACUGGGUAGCUGAAGCACAAGACAUUUUCCUUGUGAAACCUUUCACAUGGGACAAAUAGAAAUAUCAGCACCGGGAACAUCUCUGUUUAUAGAAAAAGAUUUACUUUAAAUGGUGUGUGGCUUUUCUUUUUCUCUUUGCCACGGAAUAAGGUGGAAUUGUAUCUCUGAGUCUGCACCUGCCCAGUUUAUGCAGGCAAAAUGUGUCUUGAAAUCAGCAGAAAAAGUUGCUGAAGAAAGAUUUCAGGAUUGGGCUACCUGGGAGGGAUAGUGAGCAGUGUCACUUCUCUAGUAAGACUGACAGAAGUGUCCUCUCCUCUCUGAAGAUAAACCUACAAAGUUCAUUUUGCCCUUUAUAAAGCCUUCAAUCUGGCAUGGAUGUGAAAAGAAGAAUAUCUCUUUGUAGCUUACCCAUGUAGGGCGGGGAAAGGCUUAAAGAGUUAGGUUUGGUGUUUACCGGGAUAGUGCUGGUUUUGGCCAGGAAAAAUGGUCCUGUGACAUGGGGACUUUCCUGGAUUAGUAUUUAAUUAUGACCAAUAUAUUACUUUAUAGAUAGUUUUUAAAUAUAGAAUUGCUUCUUCCAGCAUGUACAUUUUCAGAAUGCCUCUUACUGAUGUACACAACAUUUAAGUAUCUAAAAAUGGCUUUCAAAAGAUGCUGGAUUGGAUUUCAUUCAGAUCCUCCUUUUAGCCACUAACAUUAAUAUUCUGCAUUGGAGGCAAAAUAUUGCAAAAAAUAUUGACACUUAACUUCUGUACAUUAAGCCACAGUAUGUCAAAUACCACGUGUGAGUAUCUGAUAUGGUGGUGAGUCUUUGAAAGAUUCAAAUCUAGACUCUGUGUACGCUGUUGCUUGGUGUUUCUGUUGUGUGAAUGUUCCUAGAAGACACUUGAGCAAGCAAAAGAAAUGUACCAAAUAGGGCAUUUUGAAAAGUUAUAUUUGUUUUCAUUUUUCUUUUUUAAUCUAAGCUGGUAUGGUGAAGGAACAGCAGCAAAAUUCUCUCACACCAAAUUCCUCUGACCAAAGGUUUUACAAACAUUAGACCAGGUCCUCAGGUGGUAUUAAUCAGCACAGCUAAGCUGAUUCAGUAGGUUUGUCCUGAUUUAUCCCUGCUGAAACUCUGGUUCAGUUCUUUGACACUUUAGGAGCCACAUACAGCUAUAUCCCCAUGUACCAUAGGAGUCACUAUUAAAAAAAAGAAUGGAACAGUUAUCACCUAGUGGUAUAUGGGAUAAUAAAAAUGUUCCCUGUUUUUAGUACCAGUCUAUGGAAAAAAGAUUGCCUAAUGCUGAGUUUGGAAUGGCUCCUACUGUAGGAGAGAAUUCAGAGGGGGACAAGGGCUGUUGACUAGAGUGAGCGUACCUCUGCAUUUGCCAUGGAGGAGAAGGGAAAUACAAAACCUCAGGGACUGACUGUACAUUCAUGAGAUUUGUUGGCAGGAUCAAGCUCUUUCUUUCUGCACAAGCUGUUGUCUUUAUUAACCUUUACCAAACCUAAUAGAAACGUGCCCAAAGCCUAGUCACCAUUUAAACCUCAAAUAACCCCUCAAGACAGGAUUUAAAUGGGAUUUAACUGGUGCAUAUGGCCUCCUCAGGGGCGUAUCUGACCCACAGAUCUAAGCUAGCACUUGCCUGAAGUAGAUAUUCAUUUUACUGAACAAGUAAAAGUACAGGGAGUCCCAGGAGUCUCAUGCCUUUGGAAAGAAAACUAAGAUGAAAGUGAUGGGAAAGAUUUGCUUUGUUCCUAGUGCAUAGUGUGUAAUUAUCACAAAACUAAGAGGACUCAGGAUAGAGACUGUGGACAUUAACUGUCACCUUUUUUUGGGGUGAUACUGUUCUUAAUGUAGAAAUACUGGACAGCCCAGAAAUGUAGUAUCAGUCUAGUAGAAAAUGAGUGGAAAGCUGCACAGUAUAUUGUACUGAUGUAAGUAGAACUAUCUGCAUAUAAUGUGAUUUUAUUUAUUUUUUUUUGUGUAGAGGAGAAUGAAUAUUCAUGACUGUGGAUAUAACCUUUACUUGUGUAAUGUAUUUUAUUUCUUUUGCCAGUUGGUCAUUUAAAAUAUCGGCAUUCAUUGAUGUCCUCUGACUUUUAAUUGUGUGCAUUUUCUUGUAAACGUUUCAAGAAUUCAAGAGUUAUAAAAAAAUGUUCCCAUUAAAGAAACAGAAAUCUGA